ACAGCAGUCGCCGCGGGAACACGGAGGGGGCUAGCGUUGUUCGGAAUUACUGGGCGUAAAGCGUGCGUAGGCGGUGAGUUAAGUCUGCUGUGAAAUCCCCGGGCUCAACCUGGGAAUGGCAAUGGAUACUGGCAAGCUAGAGUGUGUCAGAGGAUGGUGGAAUUCCCGGUGUAGCGGUGAAAUGCGUAGAGAUCGGGAGGAACAUCAGUGGCGAAGGCGGCCAUCUGGGACAACACUGACGCUGAGGCACGAAAGCGUGGGGAGCAAACAGGAUUAGAUACCCGAGUAGUCCCUGUCUCUUAUAC
Molecule: ribosomal RNA, 305 nt
Filed under: uncultured bacterium
Lineage: Bacteria
Description: partial 16S ribosomal RNA
Rfam family: Bacterial small subunit ribosomal RNA
Source: RNAcentral